AUUCAUUUAGUAUAAAAAGUAUACUAAGCUUCCAACUUAAAGGUUAAAUUCAUUAAAUGAAUA
RNAcentral lists this transfer RNA (63 nucleotides) under Phlogotettix monozoneus. RNAcentral describes it as "tRNA-Gly". The record is from RNAcentral. Lineage: Eukaryota; Metazoa; Arthropoda; Insecta; Hemiptera; Cicadellidae.